RNAcentral lists this ribosomal RNA (395 nucleotides) under uncultured bacterium. Its description in RNAcentral is "bacterial SSU rRNA". It matches the Rfam family "Bacterial small subunit ribosomal RNA", at positions 136 to 518 of the family's 1533-position model. The record is from RNAcentral.
GGUGGGGAAAACCGUUGGAAACGACGGCUAAUACCGAAUGCGGCGCCCGGAGACAUCUCCGGCGACGCUAAAGGGGGGCCGCAAGGCUCCCCCUCUUCGAGGGGCUCGCGCACCAUCAGCUUGUUGCGGGUAACGGCCACCAAGGCUCACGGUUAGCUGGUCUGAGAGGAUGGCCAGCCGCACUGGGACUGAGAUACUGCCCAGACUCCUACGGGAGGCUGCAGUCGAGGAUCAUUCGCAAUGGGGAAACCCUGACGAUGCGACGCUGCGUGGAGGAAUGAAGGCCCUCGGGUCGUAAACUCCUGUCAUGAGGGAAAAGGCGAAGGGACCCAACACGUCCCCUAGUUGAUGGUACCUCAAGAGGAACGGGCGGCUAACUCUGUGCCAGCAGCUGC